AACGAACGCUGGCGGCAUGCCUAACACAUGCAAGUCGAACGACACCUUCGGGUCUGGUGGCGCACGGGUGCGUGACGCGUGGGAAUAUGCCCUUGGGCUCGGCCUAACGGUUGGGAACGACUGCUAAUACCGGAAGUUAUCGUAAGUCCAAAGGGUUAUCGCCCAAGGAGGAGCCUCCGUAGGAUUAGCUUGUUGGUGAGGUAAAGCCGCACCACAGGGAGGAUACUUAGCUGGUCAGCGAGGAUGAGCAGCGACACUGGGGGUGAGACACGGCCCAGAAUCCUACGGGAGGCAGGAGUGGGGAAUAUAGGACAGUGGGGGGUGGGCUGAUGCAGCAAGGGUGGGUGAGUGAUGAAGGCGGUAGGGUAGUAAAGUGUGCUUAUACGGGAGGAUAAUGACGGUACCGGGAGAAUAAGCACCGGCUAACUACGUG
This 433-nucleotide ribosomal RNA is filed under the name uncultured bacterium. RNAcentral's name for it is "partial 16S ribosomal RNA". It matches the Rfam family "Bacterial small subunit ribosomal RNA", at positions 29 to 507 of the family's 1533-position model. The record is from RNAcentral.